RNAcentral lists this ribosomal RNA (549 nucleotides) under uncultured Glomus. Its description in RNAcentral is "SSU rRNA". It matches the Rfam family "Eukaryotic small subunit ribosomal RNA", at positions 548 to 1098 of the family's 1831-position model. Lineage: Eukaryota; Fungi; Glomeromycota; Glomeromycetes; Glomerales; Glomeraceae. The record is from RNAcentral.
UUGGAGGGCAAGUCUGGUGCCAGCAGCCGCGGUAAUUCCAGCUCCAAUAGCGUAUAUUAAAGUUGUUGCAGUUAAAAAGCUCGUAGUUGAAUUUCGGGAUCAGUACGCCGGUCGUGCCUUCGGUAUGCACUGGUGUCACUGGUUUCUCCCUUCUGAAGAACCAUCAUGCCAUUCAGUUGGUGUGGCGGGGAAUCAGGACUGUUACUUUGAAAAAAUUAGAGUGUUUAAAGCAGGCUCGCGCUUGAAUACAUUAGCAUGGAAUAAUGAAAUAGGACGUUUGACCCUAUUUUGUUGGUUUCUAGGAUCGACGUAAUGAUUAAUAGGGAUAGUUGGGGGCAUUAGUAUUCAAUUGUCAGAGGUGAAAUUCUUGGAUUUAUUGAAGACUAACUACUGCGAAAGCAUUUGCCAAGGAUGUUUUCAUUAAUCAAGAACGAAAGUUAGGGGAUCGAAGACGAUCAGAUACCGUCGUAGUCUUAACCAUAAACUAUGCCGACUAGGGAUCGGAUGAUGUUAAUUUUUGAAUGACUCAUUCGGCACCUUACGGGAAAC